Molecule: long non-coding RNA, 273 nt
Organism: Protopterus annectens (West African lungfish)
Lineage: Eukaryota; Metazoa; Chordata; Ceratodontiformes; Protopteridae
Exons: 3
Source: RefSeq, a predicted model, not a curated record
UUUUUGUAUUUCUGCACAGCCUGUCAGGGAAUAAAAUUGGAAGUGAAGGGGCAAAACAUCUGUCUGAGGCCCUAAAGAGUCCAAACAAUAACUUACAGCAGCUACACCUCUCAAAUAAUAAAAUUGGAAGUGAAGGGGCAAAACAUCUGUCUGAGGCCCUAAAGAGUCCAAACAAUAACUUACAGCAGCUAGACCUCUCAGGUAAUAAAAUUGGAAGUGAAGGGGCAAAACAUCUGUCUGAGGCCCUAAAGAGUCCAAAGAAUAACUUACAGG